This 490-nucleotide ribosomal RNA is filed under the name uncultured bacterium. Its description in RNAcentral is "partial 16S ribosomal RNA". It matches the Rfam family "Bacterial small subunit ribosomal RNA", at positions 28 to 507 of the family's 1533-position model. The record is from RNAcentral.
GAUGAACGCUAGCUACAGGCUUAACACAUGCAAGUCGAGGGGAAACGCUGAGAGAGCUUGCUCUCUUAGGCGUCGACCGGCGCACGGGUGAGUAACGCGUAUCCAACCUACCCAUUACAGGGGGAUAACCUUGCGAAAGUAAGACUAAUACCCCAUGGCAUUUUAUGGUGGCAUCAUUAUAGGAUUAAAGAUUUAUUGGUAAUGGAUGGGGAUGCGUCUGAUUAGCUUGUUAGCGGGGUAACGGCCCACCAAGGCAACGAUCAGUAGGGGUUCUGAGAGGAAGGUCCCCCACGUUGGAACGGAGACACGAUCCAAACUCCUACGGGAGGCAGCAGUGAGGAAUAUUGGUCAAUGGGCGAGAGCUUGAACCAGCCAAGUAGCGUGCAGGAUGACGGCCCUAUGGGUUGUAAACUGCUUUUAGAGGGGAAUAAAGUGAGCUACGUGUAGUUUAUUGCAUGUACCCUAUGAAUAAGGACCGGCUAAUUCCGUG